AAAAAAAAAAAGAAAAAGGGACAGCAGCUCCAUGCUUCAAUCCUCGUUUUCUACUUCUAGACCAGGAGACCAGGUUUCAAUUCUCGCUGCCUGAAGUGGAAGCGCGUCUCCAUUCCACUGUGGGACAUAUCACCGUACUAUAAACAACCAAAAGCUCUAUAAUUGCCAGACGCCUGUUAUCGUCGUUUCGCCGGCCGAUCGCUGUUUCCGAACUACUUUCAUUUUUAGUGAUGGACAUUGAAAGCAGUGCAGAGUUGAAUGAACAAUCUCAAAUGCUUCCACCUCCACCCAGAACUUUUGUAGAUCAUGAAGAGCUUAUAGAACAUGUUGGAGACCUUGCUGUAUCUCAGGGAUAUGUGGUAACUAUUAAGCAAUCUAAGAGAGACAGAGUAGUAAUCCUUGGAUGUGACAAAGGAGGUGUUUAUGGUAAUAGGCGGAAGGCUAUUGAUCAAUCUGCUGUGGAACACUCCUGGAAAAGAAAAACUGGUUCUCAGCUUACCAACUGUGCUUUUGAAGUUGUGGGUAAGAAGGAUGAUGGAUUGUGGGUACUUCCUGUAAAAAAUGGAACUCACAAUCAUGAGCCUCUAAAGGACAUUUCAGAACAUCCUUCUGUCCGUCGCUUCUCAGAGACUGAAGUUCAGUUAAUUAAAGAGAUGACUUUCUGGACUAAAACCUCGCCAAAUCCCGAAGAGAUUGAGACAAAGCAACCCGGAUCUUCUGUCAAUUCCAAAGCAUGUGUACAAUAUUAAAGCUAAACUCCGACAAGGAAAUAUGACAGGUCUUUGAGGCCUGAGAAAUCUGCUGUUAGGAAUAAUUAUCUCACGGUUACAGAGCCAUCCUGGAGGCAGCAGAACAUACCAUGGAUCAACAAAAAUUCAUCUCAAAUGCUGGAGGUUCGAAGCAAACUGAGAAAUAUUUCUCUCUCUCUCUCUCUCUCUCUGACACGCUCCUCGCUAGAGUUUUUUAUAGUUAUGCUGGAUUUUAACCUAUUGACUAAUCUGUCAGAGGGUUCCCAAUCUCACUGGAGGUAAAUUUGUUGAUUCAGUCUUUUGUGUUUAUCGAUGUUAUAAAUCCUGUAAGUUUAGAUAAAGCCCUCUUAAGUUCAUUUCAUUUUAUUUCCUUAAUGUUAUCAUUUCAAUAAUUAUUUAGUCAUUCUUUCCAAUUAUUUGCUGAUAUGUGACAAGCAACCCAACUAGCUGUUUCUCAAGUUCCUUUGACUACAAAUGAGGAAUUCAGAGCUGCAGUAUUUGCUGCAAAGCAGGCAUUUCCAUCAUGAAGAAGCACACCAAAUACCACUCAUCAACGAAUCAUGUUCAAGUUUCAAGAGUUUAUCUGGAGAGACAUUGUAAUUUUUUGGAUUUUACACACUUUAGCUUGCAAUAUCUGGUUGAUUUUACAAUAAUUUCUUUCCCAGGAUAUGCUGUCUGCGACCAUUACUACUGGCAUGGGAAGGCUCUAAAAGAUGCAUAUGCUGAUGUGUCACUAGGACUAGGUGGUGGUACACGCUUGUGGAUUGGCAACCCUGCAAAUUGGAGAGUUUGUUUCCAACUUGUCUAAUGGAACUGACACCUAUAGCAUUAGAGAGCCACUUGGUGUUUGUGCUGGAAUUUGCCCAUUUGAGUUUCCUGCUAUGAUCCCACUAUGAUGUUUCCUGUGGCUGUCACAUGUGGCAAUACUUUUAUUCUAAAGACAUCAGAGAAAGAUCCAGGCUGGUGCAUAUAUUUAUGCAAGGGCAUCAGCUAAAGGAAAACGUAUUCAGUCCAAUAUUGGAGCAAAAUAUCAUGCAGUUGUCAUGCCUGAUGCAAGUGUGGAUGCUACUUUAAAUGCUCUAGUUGCUGCUGGCUUCGGUGGUGCAGGACAAAAGUGCAUGGCCCUGAGCACAUUUGUCUUUGUUGGAGGCCUAAGUCCAUGGUGUCUUGUUUGUAUUUAAUUCCUUAGCAUUUUGUUCUGGUUGUUAUCGAGUCAAAUUCUAUGAAGGUUUGAAGUUGCAAGUCUAUGCAGUAAUUUCAACAUGGGUUAUUUGCACCUUGAAUAAGUAUAUCCAAAUCCUGUCAUCCAGUUGACAUGCUUCUUAUUGUUU
Hevea brasiliensis (rubber tree) is the source of this 2080-nucleotide RNA transcript. RefSeq lists it as uncharacterized. The transcript is spliced from 7 exons. The record is from RefSeq and is a predicted model, not a curated record. NCBI's taxonomy places the organism in Eukaryota, Viridiplantae, Streptophyta, Magnoliopsida, Malpighiales, Euphorbiaceae.